RNAcentral lists this ribosomal RNA (254 nucleotides) under uncultured bacterium. RNAcentral describes it as "partial 16S ribosomal RNA". It matches the Rfam family "Bacterial small subunit ribosomal RNA", at positions 524 to 776 of the family's 1533-position model. The record is from RNAcentral.
GACGUAGGGGGCGAGCGUUGUCCGGAUUUAUUGGGCGUAAAGAGCUCGUAGGCGGCUCAGAAAGUCGGGUGUGAAACCUCCAGGCUCAACCUGGAGACGCCACCUGAUACUGCUGUGGCUAGAGUCCGGUAGGGGAACACGGAAUUCCCGGUGUAGCGGUGAAAUGCUUAGAUAUCGGGAGGAACACCAGUGGCGAAGGCGGUGUUCUGGGCCGGAACUGACGUUGAGGAGCGAAAGCGUGGGUAGCAAACAGG